Microcebus murinus (gray mouse lemur) is the source of this 1064-nucleotide non-coding RNA. NCBI's taxonomy places the organism in Eukaryota, Metazoa, Chordata, Mammalia, Primates, Cheirogaleidae. The record is from RefSeq and is a predicted model, not a curated record.
AGGAUUUAAGUAAAGAAUAAGUCUCUAAAGAUCAAGAAAAAGUAUAAACAUAAAUUCAGACAAAAAAUACUAGUAAAUUAUAUGUGUGUGUGCUUGUGUGUGGUGUGUGUACAGCUGAUUAAAAACAGCUAAUGUCUGAUGGAGUUAGGUGAGUGGCAUUUCGCAAACAAGAAUUCAGAGCCUAGUACAUCUCUAGCAGUGUCUGCCACCAAUGGUGAAAUGCCCACAUGGCAGCUACAGAAAGGCCUGAGAAAACUAGGGUGAAAAAGAGGAGGAGAAGGAAGAAGAAGGAGGAAGGUGGGUGCAUAUACAGAAAUGUUGAGCAGCCAGAGAGCAUAUCAGAUCACAUGUACCAGAUGGCAGUUAUGGCCAUGGUGACCAAAGAUGACCAUCUUAACAAAGACAGAUGUGUGUGCCUAGCCCUGGUUCACAAUAUGGCAGAAUGCAUCGUUGGGGACAUAGCGCCAGCAGAUAAUAUCCCCAAAGAAGAAAAACAUAGGCGAGAAGAGGAAGCUAUGAAGCAGAUAACCCAGCUCCUACCAGAGAACCUUGGAAAGGAGUUCUAUGAACUUUGGGAAGAGUAUGAGACCCAGUCUACUGCAGAAGCCAAAUUUGUGAAGCAGCUGGACCAACUUGAGAUGAUUCUUCAGGCGUCUGAAUAUGAAGACCUGGAGAACAAACCUGGAAGACUGCAGGACUUCUACGAUUCCACAGCAGGAAAAUUCAGUCACCCUGAGAUCAUCCAGCUUGUCUCUGAACUUGAGGCAGAAAGAAAUGCUAACAUAGUUGCAGCUGCCAGUGAGCCACGCUCCUGAGAUGCUGUCUGCGUUGCUGUCCUGUAACCAACAUUUUAUUUUUAUGUUUCAUGGUAUUGCCAUUGUGGUCUGUUGAUUUCUCUAGAUGUGUCUGCUUAUUUUUAAUUGGACUUCAGCAAGAAAUGUAAUGUAAUUUGGGCACUAAAGGAAGCCGUGGAACAGGAAGUGGCAAUGAACAUGUCAUGGAUGAAGACCGGAGGGGGGAGUAAUGCCUUUUUUAUGAACAAAAUAAAUAUUAAAUGCCUAAAA